UCGGGUUUCGAUCACGCUCCACGCUCGUCACGUUGUGUGUGUGGUUAUAUUGGUUGAUGUGACAACAGGUUUCUUAUCUAAAGAUGCAGUACCCGUCAGUCAGAUGUAUGCGCUUCUUAGCGACUGUUCUGAGUUGUAUUGGCGCCACUCUGAGCUGUCAUGAGUCAUGAGCCCAAUGGACCAGGAAUGUAGUGUUUGACGAUGUCGCAAUCACCGACCACAUCAUACUCCCUCUGAGUGAAGUCGGAACGAUAUUGGAUUGUAUCUGGGAAUGUCAACAGUACCGUAACUGUGUGUCGAUUUCCUACCAUUAUGAUGGCACGUGCCGACUGCAUUCAUUGGUACUCGCAAACAGGACCGGUUAUCUCCCUUCGCUUGGAUGGCGCUACUUCAAUGCUAACGCAGGUCGAUGUCCAGUCGAGAAUGGAUAUGUGUUGCUUGACAUUGUGAAUGUAUGCAUUAAGGUGUCCGCCGACGCAAAAUCACACUAUGAAGCCCGUCAGACUUGCACCCAAGCAGGCGAUAGACUGAUUAUACUGGACACGGCGGAGAAAAACUCAGCUGUUAAAACAUACUUCGACAAAUGUUGUUGCUCUGCUUUUAGUGUGCGGAAAUCGGAACCCUUCUUUUAGCAACUAACACAGUGGCGGAUCCAGAAAAUCCAUUUAGGGGGGCCCCAGUGACAUGAGGUGUAAUACCAAGGGAACUUUGAGGGAGGUUUGGAGGGGGAUCGUAAAAAAAAUGAAAAUUAAUAUAUAAUAAAAUUAUAACUACCGCAAAAUUUUGAUUCGCCUCUGCAACAUUUUGUCAAUUUUUUUUAUAAGUAGCAUAAUAUAGUAUAGACGGGUCCACGAGUACAUCAUUAAUUAUAAUAAAGGUCAAUGAUUCAUCAAGUGUUAAAAAACAAUUUCAUUUUUUUUUUUUUUUUAUCAAUGAACCAGGUAACUGAUUUUGUGUCAUGCAUUAAAAGCUGUAGUUUUAAUUGUAUGCAUAUAUUGCACCUUGGAAUGAAGGUUUACAAUACUGAAUAUAGUGGAGUAGUUUUGAAGAAGUCAAAGCAAUUACAAUAUAAAACAAUUCUCUAUAUAACUAUAUUAAAUUUCACCUCGUCUUCGGGGACAAAGGUGCGACCCAAUAUUUGUUGACAUUCAAAAUUAGAUAAAGGAUCUAUUGUCCUUACAUAUAUGACGACUACUCGGUUAUACCAUUACGGGAAGUAGAGGUUUUUUUAACUGACAUAAGUAUUCCCUUUUGGGCUCUACCCUCUGGUCUGCUUGGUCUGAAAGACCAAAUUCACAAAUUGGUUCUCCCGUGUGUGAAUGACAUGUCCCACAAAAUGA
Long non-coding RNA from Gigantopelta aegis, 1340 nucleotides. RefSeq lists it as uncharacterized. The transcript is spliced from 3 exons. NCBI's taxonomy places the organism in Eukaryota, Metazoa, Mollusca, Gastropoda, Neomphalida, Peltospiridae. The record is from RefSeq and is a predicted model, not a curated record.